This 253-nucleotide ribosomal RNA is filed under the name uncultured bacterium. RNAcentral's name for it is "partial 16S ribosomal RNA". It matches the Rfam family "Bacterial small subunit ribosomal RNA", at positions 524 to 776 of the family's 1533-position model. The record is from RNAcentral.
UACGUAGGGUCCGAGCGUUGUCCGGAAUUAUUGGGCGUAAAGAGCUCGUAGGCGGUUUGUCGCGUCUGCUGUGAAAUCCCGAGGCUCAACCUCGGGCCUGCAGUGGGUACGGGCAGACUGGAGUGUGGUAGGGGAGACUGGAACUCCUGGUGUAGCGGUGAAAUGCGCAGAUAUCAGGAAGAACACCGGUGGCGAAGGCGGGUCUCUGGGCCACUACUGACGCUGAGGAGCGAAAGCGUGGGGAGCGAACAGG